ACAGGUUUGAUAAAUUUAGAUUUUAAAUUUGUGUAUGCACAGUUUCUUUAUGUGCCUAGUAUAGUUACGAUUUAUGAUACAGACAUGUAUAUACAGUAUUGGGGUAAAUCAAGCUUAUGUAAUGCUUGUUCUGUCAGGUAACUGUAGUUCAGUCAGUAACCAAUCUGAAAAUGACAUGCAAAGCAAAUACAUUUAAACUUUCUAGUGACGAGAGUUAUUGUUUUAAAAUAUCUGUUCUGCAGUCUCCUGCGUAUAUAUAAGAACUAUGGAAACAAUUACUGAUUUAUGUCGAAUGAGGAACUUGUUGAACUCACCAUCAACCGGAACCUGAACCCACCCAUCUUCAACCCCGUCACCUGUGAAGAGACCAUUCUCGAGACCAGGCCAAUUUGACACGUGGUUGUCAGAGUGACAGCUUCAGAUGCUGAUAACCUGGACAGCCGUGACGCAUCGAAAGGAUUCGGCAUACCUGUUUCCUGAAAAAGCUGGAGGCCUUACCAAUAUUCAAAGUGCCCACUCUCCAUGCAGCGUCCCUUGCAUCAAACACUUGACAUAAAAGUCGACUUAAGAGAAGCGGAUUGAAUUUGUACAUGACCUGGCUGAUCAUGUGACCUAGUUGAUCAUGUGGCCUGGCUGAACAUGUAGCCUGGCUGUUCACGUGACCUAGUUGAUCAUGUGGCCUUGGUGAUCAUGUGACCUAACUGAUCACAUGGCCUUGCUGAUUGUGUGACCUGACUCAUCAUGUGUCUGUCAAAGUGUGUAGUUGCUCAUGCCUUCAGUCACGUGUUUGUCUAGUCCAGAUUUGUUUGUUUAGAGGUCGCCACGAAAGAGAUGACAAUGACUAUGUACAAACUCAGAUCUAUUGUACAUUGGUCAUCACAAAAAUGAAUGAACAAAGUUGUAACAAAAUAAACAAUUGUAGUUA
Haliotis rubra (blacklip abalone) is the source of this 925-nucleotide long non-coding RNA. RefSeq lists it as uncharacterized. The record is from RefSeq and is a predicted model, not a curated record. The transcript is spliced from 2 exons. Lineage: Eukaryota; Metazoa; Mollusca; Gastropoda; Lepetellida; Haliotidae.